Non-coding RNA from Oncorhynchus mykiss (rainbow trout), 2588 nucleotides. The record is from RefSeq and is a predicted model, not a curated record. NCBI's taxonomy places the organism in Eukaryota, Metazoa, Chordata, Actinopteri, Salmoniformes, Salmonidae.
UUGAAACGUCACAGCUGUUCUGGUAGCUAAUCGUAUGUCACGUUACUUGAACCGCAGUUGCUAUCAUCAUAGGAGGAACUAGUUAGCUUUAAAUGCCACACUGAAUAAUCGGUAAACACUGGUGAAAUCGGAAGAUUUAACUUCACAGAUAGGAGCGAUAAAGUAAUUAAGGUAAACAUAACCAUGGAGGAACCAGGUGCUGAUAUAGAGGUGACUGUCAAAACUUUGGACUCCCAGAGUCGAAGUUACACUAUAGGCGGACAGUUGACAGUGAAAGAGUUCAAGGAGCACAUUGCCACUUCAGUGGACAAACAGGCUGAUCUACCAGGGCCGAGUUCUGCAGGAUGAGAGGACCCUGACAGUACAUAUCUUGGCAAAUGGUACUUCAUUGCAGCGGCUGGUGUGAAGGAGUCGGAUGUGCAGAUGUUCAGACAGAUGGACAGCACUGUGUUUCACCUGAAUGAGACCUCUGAAAAGGCACUACUGUUGACCGGAGCCAUGCGCGUGGGUGGUCGUUGCGUUAUGAAAAACUGGACCUAUACUAUUCAGUCUGGAAAAGAUUAUUUGACAUCACAGGGCAGGCCUGAGCUGCAAACUCUAGUGUGGAGUGGAGAGUGGCUGAACUGCAACCAGUGUAUCCUGCUGCAGGAGAUGGAGCGUCACUUGGAUCCACUAGAGACACACAACACCCUCAACAGAUUCAUUCUUUACGGUCAGCAAAGGAGUCAUCAAUGAUUCCAUACUGUGAUGGAAUAGCAGGAAUCGAAGCAAAGCUGAGAAUCUAAGAAUUGAGAUACAUACUAUUAUUAAUACAUCACAUUGCUGUUUAAUUAAUUAUUGCAUGCAUACAAUGUACAUAUUACAUUUGAUGUGUUUUAAAUUGUAUAACAAGGACAUGGUAUAGCUGCCCAAAGGGUUAAUGUGCUUAGAGAUGCAAAGAAUAUUUGCAUGUUUGCACUGUGGUCCUCAAUGAAAAUAGUGACAGUGCCUUAUUGGAUAAUAAAGUGGUGAAGGCGUUUCGGACCCAAACGGCUUGUAAAAACAUGGACAGAUUUGUCCAUCUCCCUCAAGAGAAAGGUUUGUGGUUUUGGUACAUAAUCUAACCUCACUAUAGAACAAAUGGACUUGGACCACCAGAGAAAUAUAUAUUUUCUAAUAUCUAAAAUAGCAUAUGUCUCAUUGAACUGUUUUAUUUAUAUAUGUGUGUGUGUGUGUGUAUGUUUCUUUCAGAGCUUUGUCAUUUAAACAAGGCGUAGCACUGAGACUUGUGACGCACCAACAUGAAGACACUUGACUUCCCAGAUGCACUUUGGCAUGAAACAACUUGUUGACCGACAGAAAGUACAGAGUAAGAAUUUACUUCCUGUCUCUGUCAGAAUGACUUGAGAUUCUUACCUUUCUCUCACCUGUACGAUGUCCAUAAUAGGACAGCCUCAAUCUCAGCAGGACAUAUUUCAGUCUCAGUAGGACUUGUUUCAAUAAGUUAAUAUAGUCACAGUACGGCUGAGAUUCUAUUCCCAGUGUGUUCCUCUUCAUUUCAGUAUAGUUUCUCAAAUACCAAUGCCAUUUACAGUAUAUGAAAACAUAUCUUGUUAAGCCCAAGAAUAGGCAGUCAAACUCCCCUGCAUAAUAUUUCAGUACUGUCAAACAAUGGUUCUUCCAGCCCACCUCUAACACAGCUGAUUGUUGUUGAGCAGUUCACUAAUUAUAUUGAUGAGCAGUUCACUAGUGAAACACUAAUCAGAUGGUAAUGCUGGGCAGAAACACCCUUUAGUUCUCCCUGACCAGGAAUGGUGACCGCUGGUGUAUAUACCAAUAUUGAGCCGAACACAUUCUACGAUGCUGUACAGAUUGACAUCAAUGAUCUAAAACUAGACAGAAACUGAUCAAUGAUCUAAAACUGGACAGAAACUGAUCAAUGAUCUAAAACAGAACAGAAACAGAAUAGAAACUGAACAGAACCUGAUUAGAUUGAUGCCAGAAGGUUUCUGCUUUCAACAACAGCAGUGCCUGAACUUCUGCAUUUCAGGAAGAUGGGGAAAAGACUUAAAGGCUAACAUGAUUGAAGGCCUUGUCUGAGAACUUUGCCUGCAUUGGGUAAGCACCUAAACCGUCUGUGGCAUGUCAAGAAAAGCACAGGUUGAUUGGGGAUGCCCCAUGGAGCAAGAAACCAAGAGCAGGAAAGUUACAUAGAAAUCUACCAACAAACGCUCUCUCCUUCUCUCACUCUCACUUUCGCUCUCUCCACUUUCUAAAAGUUACUUUCAGUCCUGUUUAUGAAAUCAACAGUGUUCAACUUCACACAUCUGCAUUUCCAUACCCUAUGGCUAUUUGCAUACCCUAUGUAUCAGGAACCAAAGUAAGACCUAAGUGCAGACUGUGUGAAGUAACCAUGUUUAAUGACAGGUCAAGGCAGGCACGGGUCGAUAAUCCAGAGUGGGAGCCAAGGUACAGGACGGCAGGCAGGCUCAGGGUAAGGGGCAGGCAGACGGGCUCAGAGUCAGGACAGGCAAUGGUCAAAACCAGGAGGGUGAGAAAAGAGACUGGGGAAAAGCAGGAGCUGAGAAACAAAACGCUGGUUCACUUGA